Molecule: ribosomal RNA, 628 nt
Filed under: uncultured bacterium
Lineage: Bacteria
Description: bacterial SSU rRNA
Rfam family: Bacterial small subunit ribosomal RNA
Source: RNAcentral
GCCUAACACAUGCAAGUCGAACGCUGCAGCAAUGCAGAGUGGCAGACGGGUGAGUAACGCGUGGGAACCUUCCCAGUGGUACGGAAUAGCCCAGGGAAACUUGGGGUAAUACCGUAUACGCCCCUAGGGGGAAAGAUUUAUCGCCAUUGGAUGGGCCCGCGUCGGAUUAGCUAGUUGGUGAGGUAACGGCUCACCAAGGCGACGAUCCGUAGCUGGUCUGAGAGGAUGAUCAGCCACACUGGGACUGAGACACGGCCCAGACUCCUACGGGAGGCAGCAGUGGGGAAUAUUGGACAAUGGGCGCAAGCCUGAUCCAGCCAUGCCGCGUGAGUGAUGACGGCCCUAGGGUUGUAAAGCUCUUUCACCCACGACGAUAAUGACGGUAGUGGGAGAAGAAGCCCCGGCUAACUUCGUGCCAGCAGCCGCGGUAAUACGAAGGGGGCUAGCGUUGUUCGGAUUUACUGGGCGUAAAGCGCACGUAGGCGGAUCUUUAAGUCAGGGGUGAAAUGCCGGAGCUCAACUUCGGAACUGCCUUUGAUACUGGAGAUCUUGAGUUCGGGAGAGGUGAGUGGAACUGCGAGUGUAGAGGUGAAAUUCGUAGAUAUUCGCAAGAACACCAGUGGCGAAG